Molecule: transfer RNA, 76 nt
Filed under: Maritalea mobilis
Lineage: Bacteria; Pseudomonadati; Pseudomonadota; Alphaproteobacteria; Hyphomicrobiales; Devosiaceae
Also listed under: 8 other names
Description: tRNA-Trp
Rfam family: tRNA
About the family: Transfer RNA (tRNA) molecules are approximately 80 nucleotides in length.
Source: RNAcentral
AGGGGUGUAGCUCAGUUGGUAGAGCAUCGGAUUCCAAAUCCGACGGUCGGGGGUUCGAGUCCCUCCGCCCCUGCCA